Molecule: ribosomal RNA, 896 nt
Filed under: Trichoderma ghanense
Lineage: Eukaryota; Fungi; Ascomycota; Sordariomycetes; Hypocreales; Hypocreaceae
Description: LSU rRNA
Rfam family: Eukaryotic large subunit ribosomal RNA
Source: RNAcentral
GCAUAUCAAUAAGCGGAGGAAAAGAAACCAACAGGGAUUGCCCCAGUAACGGCGAGUGAAGCGGCAACAGCUCAAAUUUGAAAUCUGGCCCUUUCGGGUCCGAGUUGUAAUUUGUAGAGGAUGCUUUUGGCAAGGCGCCGCCCGAGUUCCCUGGAACGGGACGCCACAGAGGGUGAGAGCCCCGUCUGGCUGGCCGCCGAGCCUCUGUAAAGCUCCUUCGACGAGUCGAGUAGUUUGGGAAUGCUGCUCAAAAUGGGAGGUAUAUGUCUUCUAAAGCUAAAUAUUGGCCAGAGACCGAUAGCGCACAAGUAGAGUGAUCGAAAGAUGAAAAGCACCUUGAAAAGAGGGUUAAAUAGUACGUGAAAUUGUUGAAAGGGAAGCGCUUGUGACCAGACUUGGGCGCGGCGGAUCAUCCGGGGUUCUCCCCGGUGCACUUCGCCGCGUCCAGGCCAGCAUCAGUUCGCCGCGGGGGAAAAAGGCUUCGGGAACGUGGCUCCCCUGGGAGUGUUAUAGCCCGUUGCAUAAUACCCUGCGGUGGACUGAGGACCGCGCAUCUGCAAGGAUGCUGGCGUAAUGGUCACCAGCGACCCGUCUUGAAACACGGACCAAGGAGUCGUCUUCGUAUGCGAGUGUUCGGGUGUCAAACCCCUACGCGUAAUGAAAGUGAACGCAGGUGAGAGCUUCGGCGCAUCAUCGACCGAUCCUGAUGUUCUCGGAUGGAUUUGAGUAAGAGCAUACGGGGCCGGACCCGAAAGAAGGUGAACUAUGCCUGUAUAGGGUGAAGCCAGAGGAAACUCUGGUGGAGGCUCGCAGCGGUUCUGACGUGCAAAUCGAUCGUCAAAUAUGGGCAUGGGGGCGAAAGACUAAUCGAACCUUCUAGUAGCUGGUUUCCGCGA